AGAGUUUGAUCCUGGCUCAGAACGAACGCUGGCGGCAGGCUUAACACAUGCAAGUCGAACGGGUGGAGCAAUCCAUCAGUGGCAGACGGGUGCGUAACACGUGGGAACAUACCUUUUGGUUCGGAAUAACUUGGGGAAACUUAAGCUAAUACCGGAUAAGCCUUAGGGGGAAAGAUUUAUUGCCGAAAGAUUGGCCCGCG
This 200-nucleotide ribosomal RNA is filed under the name uncultured bacterium. RNAcentral describes it as "partial 16S ribosomal RNA". It matches the Rfam family "Bacterial small subunit ribosomal RNA", at positions 8 to 235 of the family's 1533-position model. The record is from RNAcentral.